RNAcentral lists this ribosomal RNA (251 nucleotides) under uncultured bacterium. RNAcentral's name for it is "partial 16S ribosomal RNA". It matches the Rfam family "Bacterial small subunit ribosomal RNA", at positions 524 to 775 of the family's 1533-position model. The record is from RNAcentral.
UACAGAGGGUGCAAGCGUUGUUCGGAAUUACUGGGCGUAAAGCGAGUGUAGGCGGUUCGAUAAGUCGGAUGUGAAAGCCCCGGGCUCAACCGGGGAACUGCGUCUGAUACUGGGUGGCUUGAAUCCGGGAGAGGGAUGCGGAAUUCCAGGUGUAGCGGUGGAAUGCGCAGAUAUCAGGAGGAACACCGGUGGCGAAGGCGGAUCUCUGGGCCAUUACUGACGCUGAGGAGCGAAAGCGUGGGAGCGAACAG